AACGAACGCUGGCGGCAUGCCUAACACAUGCAAGUCGAACGAGACCUUCGGGUCUAGUGGCGCACGGGUGCGUAACGCGUGGGAACCUGCCCUUAGGUUCGGAAUAACUCCCCGAAAGGGGUGCUAAUACCGGAUAAUGUCUUCGGACCAAAGAUUUAUCGACUUUGGAUGGGCCCGCGUUGGAUUAGCUAGUUGGUAGGGUAAAAGCCUACCAAGGCGACGAUCCAUAGCUGGUCUGAGAGGAUGAUCAGCCACACUGGGACUGAGACACGGCCCAGACUCCUAGGGGAGGCAGCAGUGGGGAAUAUUGGACAAUGGGCGAAAGCCUGAUCCAGCAAUGCCGCGUGAGUGAUGAAGGCCUUAGGGUUGUAAAGCUCUUUUACCCGGGAUGAUAAUGACAGUACCGGGAGAAUAAGCUCCGGCUAACUCCGUG
RNAcentral lists this ribosomal RNA (433 nucleotides) under uncultured bacterium. RNAcentral describes it as "partial 16S ribosomal RNA". It matches the Rfam family "Bacterial small subunit ribosomal RNA", at positions 29 to 507 of the family's 1533-position model. The record is from RNAcentral.